AUUGAACGCUGGCGGCAGGCCUAACACAUGCAAGUCGAGCGGAGCGGCGGAGGGGGGAGUAAUGCCAAGGAAUGUGCAUGGUAGUGGGGGAUAAGGUCCGGAAACGGGCGCUAAUACUGAUAACUCUAAGAUGAGGCUAGGUCGGAUUAGCUAGUUGGGGGGGUAAAGGCCUACCAAGGCGACGAUCCGGAACUGGUCUGGGAGGAUGAUCAGUCACACUUGAACUGAGACACGGUCCAGACUCCUACGGGAGGCAGCAGUGGGGAAUAUUGGACAAUGGGCGAAAGCCUGAUCCAGCCAUGCCGCGUGUAUGAAGAAGGUCUUCGGAUUGUAAAGCACUUUAAGUUGGGAGGCGUUACCAACAGAAUAAGCACCGGCUAACUUCGUGCCAGCAGCCGCGGUAAUUC
Molecule: ribosomal RNA, 407 nt
Filed under: uncultured bacterium
Lineage: Bacteria
Description: partial 16S ribosomal RNA
Rfam family: Bacterial small subunit ribosomal RNA
Source: RNAcentral